GCAUAAGCAUAACACUAAAACUCACAAUAAUAUUAUUUUUAAGUUGGGUAAAAUAUUAAUUCCCUAAAAACU
This 72-nucleotide transfer RNA is filed under the name Schizothorax lissolabiata. Its description in RNAcentral is "tRNA-Thr". Lineage: Eukaryota; Metazoa; Chordata; Actinopteri; Cypriniformes; Cyprinidae. The record is from RNAcentral.